GACGAACGCUGGCGGCGUGCCUAAUACAUGCAAGUAGAACGCUGAAGAGAGGAGCUUGCUCUUCUUGGAUGAGUUGCGAACGGGUGAGUAACGCGUAGGUAACCUGCCUUGUAGCGGGGGAUAACUAUUGGAAACGAUAGCUAAUACCGCAUAACAAUGGAUGACACAUGUCAUUUAUUUGAAAGGGGCAAUUGCUCCACUACAAGAUGGACCUGCGUUGUAUUAGCUAGUAGGUGAGGUAAUGGCUCACCUAGGCGACGAUACAUAGCCGACCUGAGAGGGUGAUCGGCCACACUGGGACUGAGACACGGCCCAGACUCCUACGGGAGGCAGCAGUAGGGAAUCUUCGGCAAUGGGGGCAACCCUGACCGAGCAACGCCGCGUGAGUGAAGAAGGUUUUCGGAUCGUAAAGCUCUGUUGUAAGUCAAGAACGGGUGUGAGAGUGGAAAGUUCACACUGUGACGGUAGCUUACCAGAAAGGGACGGCUAACUACGUGCCAGCAGCCGCGGUAAUACGUAGGUCCCGAGCGUUGUCCGGAUUUAUUGGGCGUAAAGCGAGCGCAGGCGGUUUGAUAAGUCUGAAGUUAAAGGCUGUGGCUCAACCAUAGUUCGCUUUGGAAACUGUCAAACUUGAGUGCAGAAGGGGAGAGUGGAAUUCCAUGUGUAGCGGUGAAAUGCGUAGAUAUAUGGAGGAACACCGGUGGCGAAAGCGGCUCUCUGGUCUGUAACUGACGCUGAGGCUCGAAAGCGUGGGGAGCGAACAGGGAUUAGAUACCCUGGUAGUCCACGCCGUAAACGAUGAGUGCUAGGUGUUGGAUCCUUUCCGGGAUUCAGUGCCGCAGCUAACGCAUUAAGCACUCCGCCUGGGGAGUACGACCGCAAGGUUGAAACUCAAAGGAAUUGACGGGGGCCCGCACAAGCGGUGGAGCAUGUGGUUUAAUUCGAAGCAACGCGAAGAACCUUACCAGGUCUUGACAUCCCGAUGCUAUUUCUAGAGAUAGAAAGUUACUUCGGUACAUCGGUGACAGGUGGUGCAUGGUUGUCGUCAGCUCGUGCCGUGAGAUGUUGGGUUAAGUCCCGCAACGAGCGCAACCCCUAUUGUUAGUUGCCAUCAUUCAGUUGGGCACUCUAGCGAGACUGCCGGUAAUAAACCGGAGGAAGGUGGGGAUGACGUCAAAUCAUCAUGCCCCUUAUGACCUGGGCUACACACGUGCUACAAUGGUUGGUACAACGAGUUGCGAGUCGGUGACGGCGAGCUAAUCUCUUAAAGCCAAUCUCAGUUCGGAUUGUAGGCUGCAACUCGCCUACAUGAAGUCGGAAUCGCUAGUAAUCGCGGAUCAGCACGCCGCGGUGAAUAAGUUCCCGGGCCU
Molecule: ribosomal RNA, 1370 nt
Filed under: uncultured bacterium
Lineage: Bacteria
Description: bacterial SSU rRNA
Rfam family: Bacterial small subunit ribosomal RNA
Source: RNAcentral